GUGAGGAAUUUUCCGCAAUGGGCGAAAGCCUGACGGAGCAAUGCCGCGUGAAGGAUGAAGGCCUAUGGGUUGUAAACUUCUUUUCUCAGAAAAGAAUUAUGACGGUAUCUGAGGAAUAAGCAUCGGCUAACUCUGUGCCAGCAGCCGCGGUAAGACAGAGGAUGCAAGCGUUAUCCGGAAUGAUUGGGCGUAAAGCGUCUGUAGGUUGUUUAAAAAGUAUUCUGUCAAAGAUUAGGGCUUAACCCUAGAUAGGCAGAAUAAACUUUUAAGCUAGAGUUUGGUAGAGGCAGAGGGAAUUCCCGGUGGAGCGGUGAAAUGCGUAGAUAUCGGGAGGAACACCAAAGGCGAAGGCACUCUGCUGGGCCAAUACUGACACUGAGGCACGAAAGCGUGGGGAGCAAACAGGAUUAGAAACCCGGGUAGUCC
RNAcentral lists this ribosomal RNA (426 nucleotides) under uncultured bacterium. RNAcentral's name for it is "partial 16S ribosomal RNA". It matches the Rfam family "Bacterial small subunit ribosomal RNA", at positions 354 to 796 of the family's 1533-position model. The record is from RNAcentral.